RNAcentral lists this long non-coding RNA (370 nucleotides) under Mytilus galloprovincialis (Mediterranean mussel). The record is from RNAcentral. Lineage: Eukaryota; Metazoa; Mollusca; Bivalvia; Mytilida; Mytilidae.
CAGAAGGACAAACAUUUCCCGCCGAGUUCCUUAAGUUAAAAUGAGUCACAUCUGCUUAUAAGGCAUCAUAAAAAAGGAAAGAUAGUCAUUACAUAAGAUCUCAAUACCUUUUCAUAUGAUAAAAAUCAUUUACUUAAACAUAUUAAUCAAGUAAUGUCUGUGUCAUUUUGGUCUCUUGUGGACGAUUGUCUCAUUGGCAAUCAUACCACAUCUUCUUUUUUAUAUUAGUAAAUGCAAGCAAAUAAGAUUUUACAGUAAUCAUAUGAACUAGGAAUAAUAGUUAACAACUGGACAUGUGUAAAAAAAUCGUGACUAAAUAUCACUUUAUUUUCAUGUAAUUCAACCUUUAAGAUAUGUGACAAAAUAAUCA